ACAUUCGAUUAGGUAGUUGGAAGGGUAGAAGCCUCCCAAGCCUACGAUCGAUAGUCAAGUUUGAUAGAACAGAUGACCACAUUGGGAAUGAAAUCUCCCAAGUAGCAUUAAGCUACCAGCAGUCAAGAAUAUUAGUCAAUGCUCGCAAGAGUGAACUAGCUAACUGAAAUCAACGGUGUGUCAUCGUUGAUAAAGUAAGGGAAAAGAAAUGAUGUUACCUUACUACUAGUGUCGUCCAAGUACUCGUGCCAGAAGACUCGGUAAGGCGAGAGACGCAAACGUUAGUCGUCUUAAUCAGGCGUAAAGGGUUUGUAGGCGGCUUUAAGAAUUUUAAAUAUUUAUAUAUUUAAAAUCAAUUAAAGCUAGAAUCAAAAAGAGGUCACAUUAAAUAAUACUUGGUGUAAGGUUGGUAUCUUAAAACCCCAAGUAGAAUACUAACGGCGAAGGCUUUUUUCCAAUAAUGAUUGACGCUGAGAAACUAAGGUGAGGAUAGAAAAAAGGAUUAGAGACCCUCGUAUCCCUCACUGUCAACGAUGAAUGGUAGUUACUAGAUAAAUAAUAAUUAUUUUAAAUUAAUUAAAAUUUUAUUACAAAUCUAGAGACGAUGUUAACACGAAAACCAUUCCGCCUUGUGAGUACAACUGCAAAGUUGAAAACAAAAAAAUUAGUCGGUUUCGGAGCAAACGAAGUGAAGCAUGUUGUUUAAUACGAUACCCCGCGUAAAAUCUUACCAGUCCUUGCAUAAAACUUUUAUUUAAUUAUAAAAGGAUUAUUUUAAUUCUUUAAAAAUAAAGAAUCAAAAAUUUUCAUACAGGUGUUGCAU
This 823-nucleotide ribosomal RNA is filed under the name Lyomyces crustosus. RNAcentral describes it as "partial small subunit ribosomal RNA". It matches the Rfam family "Bacterial small subunit ribosomal RNA", at positions 233 to 1046 of the family's 1533-position model. The record is from RNAcentral. Lineage: Eukaryota; Fungi; Basidiomycota; Agaricomycetes; Hymenochaetales; Schizoporaceae.